GGAGGAGGGAGGUGGAGGCGCCUGGCUGCUGAGGAGGCCGCGGGCGGUGCGGGGUCCGGUGAGAGCUCAAUCGCUUCUAAUAAAGCAGUAUUGAGAAACAUAAUUGAUGGGAGACUUAUACAAGGUUUGCUUCCUGAUUUCAUAAUUGAUAAAGCUGAGACGGUGAAACCUAACUGUUGAAGGGUGGAAGGUGUGAACCUGCUCAAGCAGGUACA
Molecule: long non-coding RNA, 215 nt
Filed under: Aquila chrysaetos chrysaetos
Lineage: Eukaryota; Metazoa; Chordata; Aves; Accipitriformes; Accipitridae
Description: lncRNA (ENSACCG00020007100.1)
Source: RNAcentral